RNAcentral lists this ribosomal RNA (2414 nucleotides) under metagenome. RNAcentral describes it as "bacterial LSU rRNA". It matches the Rfam family "Bacterial large subunit ribosomal RNA", at positions 1 to 2441 of the family's 2925-position model. The record is from RNAcentral.
UUAAGCGACUAAGCGUACACGGUGGAUGCCCUGGCAGUCAGAGGCGAUGAAGGACGUGCUAAUCUGCGAUAAGCGUCGGUAAGGUGAUAUGAACCGUUAUAACCGGCGAUUUCCGAAUGGGGAAACCCAGUGUGAUUCGUCACACUAUCAUUAACUGAAUCCAUAGGUUAAUGAGGCGAACCGGGGGAACUGAAACAUCUAAGUACCCCGAGGAAAAGAAAUCAACCGAGAUUCCCCCAGUAGCGGCGAGCGAACGGGGAGCAGCCCAGAGCCUGAAUCAGUGUGUGUGUUAGUGGAAGCGUCUGGAAAGGCGCGCGAUACAGGGUGACAGCCCCGUACACAAAAAUGCACAUACUGUGAGCUCGAUGAGUAGGGCGGGACACGUGGUAUCCUGUCUGAAUAUGGGGGGACCAUCCUCCAAGGCUAAAUACUCCUGACUGACCGAUAGUGAACCAGUACCGUGAGGGAAAGGCGAAAAGAACCCCGGCGAGGGGAGUGAAAAAGAACCUGAAACCGUGUACGUACAAGCAGUGGGAGCACGCUUCGGCGUGUGACUGCGUACCUUUUGUAUAAUGGGUCAGCGACUUAUAUUCUGUAGCAAGGUUAACCGAAUAGGGGAGCCGAAGGGAAACCGAGUCUUAACUGGGCGUUAAGUUGCAGGGUAUAGACCCGAAACCCGGUGAUCUAGCCAUGGGCAGGUUGAAGGUUGGGUAACACUAACUGGAGGACCGAACCGACUAAUGUUGAAAAAUUAGCGGAUGACUUGUGGCUGGGGGUGAAAGGCCAAUCAAACCGGGAGAUAGCUGGUUCUCCCCGAAAGCUAUUUAGGUAGCGCCUCGUGAAUUCAUCUCCGGGGGUAGAGCACUGUUUCGGCAAGGGGGUCAUCCCGACUUACCAACCCGAUGCAAACUGCGAAUACCGGAGAAUGUUAUCACGGGAGACACACGGCGGGUGCUAACGUCCGUCGUGAAGAGGGAAACAACCCAGACCGCCAGCUAAGGUCCCAAAGUCAUGGUUAAGUGGGAAACGAUGUGGGAAGGCCCAGACAGCCAGGAUGUUGGCUUAGAAGCAGCCAUCAUUUAAAGAAAGCGUAAUAGCUCACUGGUCGAGUCGGCCUGCGCGGAAGAUGUAACGGGGCUAAACCAUGCACCGAAGCUGCGGCAGCGACACUAUGUGUUGUUGGGUAGGGGAGCGUUCUGUAAGCCUGUGAAGGUGUACUGUGAGGUAUGCUGGAGGUAUCAGAAGUGCGAAUGCUGACAUAAGUAACGAUAAAGCGGGUGAAAAGCCCGCUCGCCGGAAGACCAAGGGUUCCUGUCCAACGUUAAUCGGGGCAGGGUGAGUCGACCCCUAAGGCGAGGCCGAAAGGCGUAGUCGAUGGGAAACAGGUUAAUAUUCCUGUACUUGGUGUUACUGCGAAGGGGGGACGGAGAAGGCUAUGUUGGCCGGGCGACGGUUGUCCCGGUUUAAGCGUGUAGGCUGGUUUUCCAGGCAAAUCCGGAAAAUCAAGGCUGAGGCGUGAUGACGAGGCACUACGGUGCUGAAGCAACAAAUGCCCUGCUUCCAGGAAAAGCCUCUAAGCAUCAGGUAACAUCAAAUCGUACCCCAAACCGACACAGGUGGUCAGGUAGAGAAUACCAAGGCGCUUGAGAGAACUCGGGUGAAGGAACUAGGCAAAAUGGUGCCGUAACUUCGGGAGAAGGCACGCUGAUAUGUAGGUGAAGCGACUUGCUCGUGGAGCUGAAAUCAGUCGAAGAUACCAGCUGGCUGCAACUGUUUAUUAAAAACACAGCACUGUGCAAACACGAAAGUGGACGUAUACGGUGUGACGCCUGCCCGGUGCCGGAAGGUUAAUUGAUGGGGUUAGCGGUAACGCGAAGCUCUUGAUCGAAGCCCCGGUAAACGGCGGCCGUAACUAUAACGGUCCUAAGGUAGCGAAAUUCCUUGUCGGGUAAGUUCCGACCUGCACGAAUGGCGUAAUGAUGGCCAGGCUGUCUCCACCCGAGACUCAGUGAAAUUGAACUCGCUGUGAAGAUGCAGUGUACCCGCGGCAAGACGGAAAGACCCCGUGAACCUUUACUAUAGCUUGACACUGAACAUUGAGCCUUGAUGUGUAGGAUAGGUGGGAGGCUUUGAAGCGUGGACGCCAGUCUGCGUGGAGCCAACCUUGAAAUACCACCCUUUAAUGUUUGAUGUUCUAACGUUGGCCCCUUACCGGGGUUGCGGACAGUGUCUGGUGGGUAGUUUGACUGGGGCGGUCUCCUCCCAAAGAGUAACGGAGGAGCACGAAGGUUUGCUAAUGACGGUCGGACAUCGUCAGGUUAGUGCAAUGGUAUAAGCAAGCUUAACUGCGAGACAGACAAGUCGAGCAGGUACGAAAGUAGGUCAUAGUGAUCCGGUGGUUCUGAAUGGAAGGG